GACGAACGCUGGCGGCAUGCCUAAUACAUGCAAGUCGAGCGAACAGAUGAAGUGCUUGCACUUCUGACGUUAGCGGCGAACGGGUGAGUAACACGUAAGGAAUCUACCUAUAAGCGGGGGAUAACAUUCGGAAACGGGUGCUAAUACCGCAUAAUAUCUUCUUCCGCAUGGAAGAAGAUUGAAAGACGGCUCUGCUGUCACUUAUAGAUGACCUUGCGGUGCAUUAGUUAGUUGGUGGGGUAACGGCCUACCAAGACGAUGAUGCAUAGCCGACCUGAGAGGGUGAUCGGCCACAUUGGGACUGAGGAACGGCCCAAACUCCUACGGGAGGCAGCAGUAGGGAAUCUUCCGCAAUGGGCGAAAGCCUGACGGAGCAAUGCCGCGUGAGUGAAGAAGGCCUUCGGGUCGUAAAACUCUGUUAUAAGAGAAGAACAAAUUGUAGAGUAACUGCUACAGUCUUGACGGUAUCUUAUCAGAAAGCCACGGCUAACUACGUGCCAGCCGCCGCCGUAA
Molecule: ribosomal RNA, 513 nt
Filed under: uncultured bacterium
Lineage: Bacteria
Description: partial 16S ribosomal RNA
Rfam family: Bacterial small subunit ribosomal RNA
Source: RNAcentral